UGCAAGUCGAACGCCCCGCAAGGGGAGUGGCAGACGGGUGAGUAACGCGUGGGAACAUACCCUUUCCUGCGGAAUAGCUCCGGGAAACUGGAAUUAAUACCGCAUACGCCCUACGGGGGAAAGAUUUAUCGGGGAAGGAUUGGCCCGCGUUGGAUUAGCUAGUUGGUGGGGUAAAGGCCUACCAAGGCGACGAUCCAUAGCUGGUCUGAGAGGAUGAUCAGCCACAUUGGGACUGAGACACGGCCCAAACUCCUACGGGAGGCAGCAGUGGGGAAUAUUGGACAAUGGGCGCAAGCCUGAUCCAGCCAUGCCGCGUGAGUGAUGAAGGCCUUAGGGUUGUAAAGCUCUUUCACCGAUGAAGAUAAUGACGGUAGUCGGAGAAGAAGCCCCGGCUAACUUCGUGCCAGCAGCCGCGGUAAUACGAAGGGGGC
Molecule: ribosomal RNA, 431 nt
Filed under: Candidatus Rhizobium massiliense
Lineage: Bacteria; Pseudomonadati; Pseudomonadota; Alphaproteobacteria; Hyphomicrobiales; Rhizobiaceae
Description: bacterial SSU rRNA
Rfam family: Bacterial small subunit ribosomal RNA
Source: RNAcentral